UACGAGGGGGGCGAGCGUUGUUCGGAAUUAUUGGGCGUAAAGGGUGCGUAGGCGGUUUGAUAAGUCUUGUGUGAAAUCUCUGGGCUCAACCCAGAGUCUGCAUAGGAAACUGUCGGGCUUGAGUAUGGGAGAGGUGAGUGGAAUUUCCGGUGUAGCGGUGAAAUGCGUAGAUAUCCGGAGGAACACCAAUGGCGAAGGCAGUGUCCUGGGAAGUACCUGACGCUCAGGUGCGAAAAGCUAGGGGAGCGAACAGG
This 254-nucleotide ribosomal RNA is filed under the name uncultured bacterium. Its description in RNAcentral is "partial 16S ribosomal RNA". It matches the Rfam family "Bacterial small subunit ribosomal RNA", at positions 524 to 776 of the family's 1533-position model. The record is from RNAcentral.